RNAcentral lists this unclassified non-coding RNA (201 nucleotides) under Hevea brasiliensis (rubber tree). Lineage: Eukaryota; Viridiplantae; Streptophyta; Magnoliopsida; Malpighiales; Euphorbiaceae. The record is from RNAcentral.
GAAAGAAAUUCCCCAUAUUGAGAUGCCACUUCAUACUAUAAUAGAGAUACAAAUGGGAGUUACAGGUGUCCAAGAGAAAAGAUACAAACUCAUGGAUUGAACAUGGUUAUAGAAAAUUCCAUAUUUUUCCAUUUAAUUUCCAAAGGAGAUUCGACUCUCUGCAAUAAUUGAUGUGGCAUCUCAAUAUGGGGAAUUUCUUUC